Molecule: ribosomal RNA, 491 nt
Filed under: uncultured bacterium
Lineage: Bacteria
Description: partial 16S ribosomal RNA
Rfam family: Bacterial small subunit ribosomal RNA
Source: RNAcentral
AGUGAACGCUGGCGGUAGGCCUAACACAUGCCAGUCGAACGGCAGCACAGUAAUAGCUUGCUCUUACGGGUUGCGAGUGGCGGACGGGUGAGGAAUACAUCGGAAUCUACUUUUUCGUGGGGGAUCACGUAGGUAAACUUACUCUAAUACCGCAUCCGACCUACGGUUGAAAGCAGGGGAUCUUCGCACCUUGCGCGGUUGAAUGAGCCGAUGUCGGAUUAGCUAGUUGGCGGGGUAAAGGCCCACCAAGGGGACGAUCCGUAGCUGGUGUGAGAGGGGGAACAGCCACAGUGAAGGUGAGAGACGGCACAGAGACCUACGGGAGGCAGAAGUGGGGAAGAUUGGAAAAUGGGGGGAAGAUUGAACCAGCCAUACCAGGUGGGUGAAGAAGGCCUUCGGGUUGUAAAACCCUUUUGUGGGGAAAAAAAGGCAGCGGGUUAAAACAAGGCUGUGCUAAGGGUACCGAAAAAGAAGGAACGGCUAAAUUUGGG